Molecule: ribosomal RNA, 402 nt
Filed under: uncultured Eubacteriales bacterium
Lineage: Bacteria; Bacillati; Bacillota; Clostridia; Eubacteriales
Description: uncultured Clostridiales bacterium partial 16S ribosomal RNA
Rfam family: Bacterial small subunit ribosomal RNA
Source: RNAcentral
UCGGGAAUAUUGCGCAAUGGGGGAAACCCUGACGCAGCGACGCCGCGUAGAGGAAGAAGGUUUUCGGAUUGUAAACUCUUGUCGACAGGGAAGAAAAUGACAGUACCUGUGGAGGAAGCCCCGGCUAACUACGUGCCAGCAGCCGCGGUAAUACGUAGGGGGCGAGCGUUAUCCGGAUUUACUGGGUGUAAAGAGCGUGUAGGCGGGAAGGCAAGUCAGAUGUGAAAACUAUGGGCUCAACCCAUAGAAUGCAUCUGAAACUGUUUUUCUUGAGUGCGGGAGAGGAAAGUGGAAUUCCUAGUGUAGCGGUGAAAUGCAUAGAUAUUAGGAGGAACACCAGUGGCGAAGGCGGCUUUCUGGACCGUAACUGACGCUGAGACGCGAAAGUGUGGGGAGCAAACA